RNAcentral lists this long non-coding RNA (1532 nucleotides) under Fukomys damarensis (Damara mole-rat). RNAcentral describes it as "lncRNA (ENSFDAG00000025914.1)". Lineage: Eukaryota; Metazoa; Chordata; Mammalia; Rodentia; Bathyergidae. The record is from RNAcentral.
GUAACAUUGUUUCUAUAGUAACUAAUGCACUGGCAAAAAUCAAAGCUGAAAAGAUUGAAAUCGUACAAAAAGCCGACCAAAGCCAAUGCUUAAAUGACGAGCAGGUGGAAGUCUUUGUCUGGGGAUAGUACAAUUUAGAAUUGGCUAGAACAAACUGAAAUCAUUGCUCUGUGACGAAAUACGAUGGAGGCACGGUCGGGACACUGCACGCGUAUGUUUAAGCAGCAAAUUGCCAAUCACGGAGCAAUUUUUGACGAAUCUGCCAAAAAGGAUGAUGAGGUGUUUCGCACGGCAGUUGGAGACCUCAACCAGAAUGAGGAAAUCUUACAGACUGAGAAGAUCACAUUUUCGGUGACAUUUGUGGAUGGCAACAACCCUUUUCAAGCGGUGCAAGAAGGUGUUCUCCUGACAAAUGUUUUGCCGCGAGGAAAAUCCUGAGACACUAUAUACAAAUCAAACAUUUUGUCCUUGGAGCCUAAUAUACUGACUGACCUAAGCUACACAUUUUUUGCGUUCUACAAAUUUCCAAAUAUUAAAGUGUUUGCCUGCAUUCUCUCUUACUCUAUAGUGAAUUAAAAGUUGUUAUUGUUGCAAAGAAAUGCAAAUGGAAAUGAUCUUAUACCGGAAUGAUCAUUCUCAUGAAUGAAGACUUUGAAAAAAAUUCUUGUAUUACUGGAAUUCUAUGUUAAUAAUCUAAUAAAAUUAUCUACCCCUUUAUGUGGAAAGUAUUCAUUCACAGAACUGCGUUUUGCUAAGUGCUGUGGUCUAAAUGUUAAUAUUCAUCCCAAAUUUUAUGCUGAAAUCUCACACCCCUUGUGCUGAUAUUCUAAAGAGGACCUUCAGAAGCUGGUCACUGCCUUCAUGAGUGUGAUUAUUGCCUUUAUAAAAGAGGCCAGAGGGAGUGUCCCCUGAGAUUAAAGGACACAGCAAGUAGGCCCUGCCCAUGCAGCAGAGAAAAGACCCUCACCAGACAACGCAUCUGCCGGUCUUGUCAUCUUGGACUUUCCAACCUCUAGAAAUAUGAGCGAUACAUUUCUGUCAUUUAUAGAUUACUCUAUAUAUAUAUAGCGUUUUGUUAUAGCAGCACAAAUAGCUUUUGUAUGUUUUGGUGAUAAUAUAUUUAGAUUAUGGAUACCUAAUUUAAAAUUAAUAUCAAAUUAAGCAUUGCUUCAUUAACAUUUUAAAUGUUUUGGCAAGAGAAAGGGCGGAUAGCACAUUAGGUACAGUAAACUUGAGCAGGAAUUUUUUAAAAGAAUAACACUGAAGGGGUAAGAAAGGUAAACAUAAGUGUUUGAAAAAUGUAUCCUUUUUGUCUACAGUUAUAUCUGUCUGGUAUAACAGAUAUCUAUUGUAAUAUGUUUGUGAUUGUGAGCAUUGGCUACAGCUAACAUUUAUUUAGGUUUACUUCUGUCAAUUAAUUAGAGAAUGGAUGUAAUGAAUGGUGGUAAGACAGAAUUUUCUUUGCAUUAAUCCAAUGAAGUGAAAUAUCCUAUUUAUAAAAUUAAUACAAUUGCUUUCUGAGAAAGUCAUUU